RNAcentral lists this ribosomal RNA (460 nucleotides) under uncultured bacterium. RNAcentral's name for it is "partial 16S ribosomal RNA". It matches the Rfam family "Bacterial small subunit ribosomal RNA", at positions 338 to 795 of the family's 1533-position model. The record is from RNAcentral.
CCUACGGGUGGCAGCAGUGAGGAAUAUUGGUCAAUGGGCGAGAGCCUGAACCAGCCAAGUCGCGUGAAGGAUGAAGGCCCUACGGUUUGUAAACUUCUUUUGUCAGGGGGCAAUUGGUUCCACGCGUGGGCUUAGCGAGAGUACCUGACGAAAAAGCAUCGACUAACUCCGUGCCAGCAGCCGCGGUAAUAGGGAGGAUGCGAGCGUUAUCGGGAUUUAUUGGGUGUACGGGGAGCGUAGACGGCGUGCCAAGUCUGGGGUGAAAGGCCGGGGCUCAACCCCGGGACUGCAUUGGAAACGGGCGUGUUGGGGUGCGGGAGGGGCAAGCGGAAUGCCGGGUGUAGCGGUGAAAGGGGUAGAUAUUAGGAGGAAAACCGGGGGCGAAGGCGGCUUGCGGGACGGUAACUGACGUUGAGGCUCGAAAGCGUGGGGAGCAAACAGGAUUAGAUACCCUAUAGUC